RNAcentral lists this long non-coding RNA (606 nucleotides) under Ananas comosus (pineapple). Its description in RNAcentral is "long non-coding RNA (ACOM_LNC008956)". Lineage: Eukaryota; Viridiplantae; Streptophyta; Magnoliopsida; Poales; Bromeliaceae. The record is from RNAcentral.
AAACUUGCCAGAAUCUUAGUCUUAGCUUAUUUCGAUGCUCCGAAUUCGUUUCCGCGUCUAUUUCGCACUGAAACGACUCUAAUUCAUCUCGAGACUCUCCAGAUGUAUUAACCAGCUAACACUAAUGCCGUGAAUUUGACUUCCACUCCCUCGGGGUAUCACGUAGAACUUGGCUAAUUUUACAUUUGGAUGAAAAUUAAGUUAUUUUAAAAAAUAAAACAAAUAGCGUUUAGAUUGAUAAGAUAGAAUAAGAAGAAUAAUGGAUAGUUAUAAAUAGAAAAUAACGAUAUUAUUCGUCUUAUUACAUUUGAAUUUGAGUUUUUAAAUUUUAUAUUUAAUUUUUUAAAUUUUAUAUUUGAAUUUUUAAUUUUUAAAUUUUAUUUUUUAAAUCUUAAAAUUCAAAAUUAAAAUUUAAAAUAUCAAAUUUUUAAAUUUCAAAUUUAAAUUUGAUAUAAAAUUUAAAUUUGAAAAUUUAAAAUACCAAAUUUAAAAUUUAUAUUUUAAAAUUUUAAUUUUAAUUUAUUAAAUUUAAAUUUUAAAAUUUAAAAUUUAAAUUUAAAUUUUAGAAAAAGGGAGCCAGAGGAACAACUGUUUCAGGACAGAGUG